UGAUAUACUUGCAGUGGGUGUCACAGAGAAAGACAUGGGCAAGGAUGAUAAUUCAAAAUUCCAGAACUCAAUUUUGAAAAAGCUAGAUGCCCAAUUGGGCGGUCUUUUAUCUGAAGCUUCUUCUGAGGAGGAUUUCACUGGAAAACCUGGCCAGUCAACUGUUAUUAGACUCCCUGGCAUUGGCUCCAAAAGGGUAGGCUUGAUUGGUCUAGGCCAGUCAGCUUCAAGGGCCGGGGACUUUCGCAGUCUUGGAGAGUCUGUUGCUGCGGCUGCAAAGGCUGCUCAAGCCAGCAACGUUGCUGUUGUGCUUGCCUCUUCUGACGGUCUCUCAGAUGAAUCAAAGCUUACUGCUGCUUCGGCAGUGGCAUCUGGUACUUAUUUUAUGAGUUUCCUGAUUUUAUAACUUACAUAUGCAGUAUAAUUGCAUAAAGAAGUGGAAUUGAUUUUUGGUGGAAUGAUUUAAAUUUUGAUAGGAACUGUUUUGGGGACAUUUGAAGAUAAUCGGUAUAGGUCUGAGUCAAAGAAACCUGUAUCACUCAAGUCUGUGGACAUUAUUGGACUUGGAACAGGACCUGAAUUAGAAAAGAAGCUGAAGUACGCUGAACAUGUUUCUUCAGCUGUGAUUUUUGGCAGGGAGCUUGUGAAUUCCCCUGCCAAUGUGCUUACCCCUGGUUCGUAUGUGCUAUAUUUUUGCUUUUUCAUGAUAAAUUUAAUCUUGUUUCUUGCAGUUAAUCUGUGCUGUGGUCAGUUAUAAAUGUGUUGUGCUUGUGAUUGAUCAAGUAGUUUGACUGGCUUAUCUUGUUUUUGUCAAUUGGCAUUUUGAUGGCCGAUAGUUUUUUUUUUUUUUGUUUCAAACAGUUGGAGAUAAUUCUUUGAAUUAAUUUGUAUGGAUUGAAUUCUAUGCUACAGCGGUACUGGCGGAGGAGGCUUCAAAGGUUGCUUCCAUGUACAGUGAUGUCCUUUCUGCCACUAUUUUGGACAUAGAGAAAUGUAAAGAGUUGAAAAUGGGGUCCUAUUUGGGUGUUGCUGCAGCUUCUGCGAAUCUUCCUCAUUUCAUCCAUUUGUGCUACAAACCACCAGGUGGAUCUGCUAAAAUCAAGUUGGCGUUGGUUGGAAAGGGAUUGACUUUUGACAGGUAAUUAUUAUGUAUGUAGUUUAAUACAAUGACUACCUGAAAGAUAGGAGAAAAUGAGAUUGGGUAGGGAGUGGGGAAGGAGAAUUAGAUGUCAGUUCCUUUGAAUAUUUCAACAUCCGACACUGCUAUGAAUAUAAUAAUGUAUUUCUUGAAAGCAAAUCAUACUAUUGUUUCUCUCACUAUGUCCCUGCCACUGAUGUCCACUGCUGUUGCUUUUUCCAUUAUCUUGGUCAAUAUGGAGUGUUACAAUUGGUAUCCACCUUCAGUUUUAUCAGCACUCUCUAUAUUUAGGUCCUUAUAUAUCUAUUUUUUGUGUUAUUAGUGGUGGCUACAACAUCAAGACUGGGCCUGGCUGUUUAAUUGAGAACAUGAAAUAUGACAUGGGAGGUGCAGCUGCCGUUCUAGGUGC
RNAcentral lists this long non-coding RNA (1544 nucleotides) under Citrus sinensis (sweet orange). RNAcentral describes it as "long non-coding RNA (CSIN_LNC001558)". The record is from RNAcentral. Lineage: Eukaryota; Viridiplantae; Streptophyta; Magnoliopsida; Sapindales; Rutaceae.